AUACUUACCUGGCAGGGGAGAUAUGAUUACGAAGGUGGUUUCCCCAGGGUGAGGCUCACUCAUUGCACUCAGGGUGUGCUGACUCCUGUGGUUUCCCCAAAUGUGGGAAACUUGACUGCAUAAUUUGUGGUAGUGGGGGACUGCAUUUAUGCUCUCCCCUG
This is a small nuclear RNA of Suncus etruscus (white-toothed pygmy shrew), 161 nucleotides long. RefSeq annotates it as U1 spliceosomal RNA. The record is from RefSeq and is a predicted model, not a curated record. The transcript has a single exon. Lineage: Eukaryota; Metazoa; Chordata; Mammalia; Eulipotyphla; Soricidae.